UGCCUCAUAGCUCAAUUGGUAGAGCAAGCAGCUGUUAACUGCGCGGUUGUAGGUUCAAAUCCUACUGAGGCAG
RNAcentral lists this transfer RNA (73 nucleotides) under Cylindrospermum stagnale PCC 7417. It matches the Rfam family "tRNA". Rfam says of the family: Transfer RNA (tRNA) molecules are approximately 80 nucleotides in length. Their secondary structure includes four short double-helical elements and three loops (D, anti-codon, and T loops). Further hydrogen bonds mediate the characteristic L-shaped molecular structure. tRNAs have two regions of fundamental functional importance: the anti-codon, which is responsible for specific mRNA codon recognition, and the 3' end, to which the tRNAs corresponding amino acid is attached (by aminoacyl-tRNA synthetases). tRNAs cope with the degeneracy of the genetic code in two manners: having more than one tRNA (with a specific anti-codon) for a particular amino acid; and 'wobble' base-pairing, i.e. permitting non-standard base-pairing at the 3rd anti-codon position. The record is from Rfam by way of RNAcentral. Lineage: Bacteria; Bacillati; Cyanobacteriota; Cyanophyceae; Nostocales; Nostocaceae.